AAAGAAAGCAAUAUGUCUCCAUUAAUUAAACAAUAGCAUAUCUCAAGGCACUAAAUUACAGUAGCAAGAUUAAUAGAUCAAAGACUAUAACUUCGUACUAACCAAAACCAAGUCAAGAACAUAACUACUUAAUCUAACAACUUUUGAGAAAUAUAAGAGUAGUUGUCACAUGCAUACGUAUCCCCUAAUUAAGAAGUGCAGAAAUCGCAGCAGCACAAGUCCUCCAAAAAGCUAGCCAUGCAAUCGUAUAAGCAAGAACAACUGCAGCAAAUUAAAUGGAUUCCUCAAAAGAUAAAAGUAAUGAUCAAAUGGUUCCAAUUAACUAGCAAGAAUAGAACAAAUAUAAUGAAGUGAGAAGAGGGAUACCCUUCAUUGAUAAAUUUGUCCAGUUCAUCCUCUAUUGGGGGAGAAUUUCUGGUGGAAGUGUCUAUGGCCUGUAUCUGCGGUGGAUCCAUUCCCCCUCUCUAUUAGUCUGAAUUUCUCAGUGUCUCAAACUCUGCUCUAUUUUGUGUGUGUGUGUGUGUGUGUUCGAAUGCUAUUUGAACUUUUUGGUAAAUUGGUGCAAGGAUUGGAUGGUUAGAUGAUUUAAAAGGAAAGAAGAUCAAACUCUUGCCAAAUUUCC
This 622-nucleotide long non-coding RNA is filed under the name Nicotiana tabacum (common tobacco). RNAcentral describes it as "long non-coding RNA (NTAB_LNC017014)". The record is from RNAcentral. Lineage: Eukaryota; Viridiplantae; Streptophyta; Magnoliopsida; Solanales; Solanaceae.